Non-coding RNA from Drosophila melanogaster (fruit fly), 718 nucleotides. The record is from Ensembl. NCBI's taxonomy places the organism in Eukaryota, Metazoa, Arthropoda, Insecta, Diptera, Drosophilidae.
AUUUGAUGUGAAAUAUAAUAUAAUGCAUAAGGUAAGUGCUAUAAUUGAACUACAAUACAUUUAAUUGAUGUUACUCUAACAUAAGUUUAAAUAUUUUUUUUAUUGAUCAUAGUUGACCUAUUUUCUUAGUGCCCUCUGACUUUCUUUCAACCAUGGAACCACCACCCUGAACAACCCAAACAGUCGCUGCUCAAUUUGUUCAUCUAAUUAUAAACAGCCAUCGAGCUGAGCCGAUCCUCGACGGAAGUUCAAUGAUCCCAGGAAAAAACCUGAAGGAAAAGGGGAAUAGAGCAAAGAAAAGGGCAAACAAUGACUCGGUAGACAAAGGAAAAGAAAAUGGAAAAAUGCCAGUAGAUAGGGAAGGCAAAAGGUAGAAAGGCUGAAAGGCUGAAAGUCAGUGAAUAUGAAUAGCCAAGACAAUGAGGCUGCAAAGGAAUGAAAGGACGUUCGCCACUCACGUGGACCGAAUGCUGAUCCUCGAGAUGUGCGUGCUGCGAUACGCGUGUGUUCCAGGAAUAGCAAACAGGACACGCCCACGCCCACGCAUUUGUCAAGGAAUUCGACCCCGCAGGAGACUCAAUCCGAUCGCUAGUUGCUGUUGAGUAAUUUGUGCGCUGCUGAGAUAAAAAUCUGUUAAGCGGUUACCAAACAUAAACAGAGUCCGGGGUGGAAAAGAUCAUUAUUGCACUGGAAGAAAGGAAUUAGAAAUUUUUGACAU